This 244-nucleotide ribosomal RNA is filed under the name uncultured bacterium. Its description in RNAcentral is "partial 16S ribosomal RNA". It matches the Rfam family "Bacterial small subunit ribosomal RNA", at positions 524 to 765 of the family's 1533-position model. The record is from RNAcentral.
UACGGAGGGUGCGAGCGUUGUCCGGAAUCAUUGGGCGUAAAGGGCGCGUAGGUGGCCCGGUCAGUUCGUGGUGAAAGCGCGGGGCUCAACCCUGCGUCGGCCAUGAAUACUGCCGCGGCUGGAGCACUGUAGAGGCAGGCGGAAUUCCGGGUGUAGCGGUGGAAUGCGUAGAGAUCCGGAAGAACACCGGUGGCGAAGGCGGCCUGCUGGGCAGUUGCUGGACACUGAGGCGCGACAGCGUGGG